Xenopus tropicalis (tropical clawed frog) is the source of this 1387-nucleotide long non-coding RNA. RefSeq lists it as uncharacterized. The transcript is spliced from 2 exons. The record is from RefSeq and is a predicted model, not a curated record. NCBI's taxonomy places the organism in Eukaryota, Metazoa, Chordata, Amphibia, Anura, Pipidae.
UUAGAUGAUACCUCGGGCCGGUGCUCCUGUACGCUAAAAACUACUUAUGCAUUUUCCUUCUUCUCUUCAGCCCCAGGUUGUGUGUACAUGCCCAGAAGGAGCAUAAAGCUGUGUUUUUUUUAGUUCCGCUUUUCAUUCUACUGCUAAAAGGAGCACCCGCCCAGGAUCUCAGGAACACCUUACCAGAGCUGCAGGUUCUGAUCCAUUUUGCUAUAUAUGGUGUUUACAAUUCACUCUGGGAUUGAGUUAAGUAUUGGCUAGGAAACUGGUUUAACUGCUCAGGUGUGCACUGAUUCAUCUUUAACAUGAUACAACUGCCUAUUUCUGACCAUCAGGAAGAUAAAAUCAGCUAGAUAAGUUUCAGACUGACAACGCAACAUUGCCUCCUGUGGCUCACAAUUUCUCAAUAAAAAAUGGUUGAAGACACCAGAACUGAUAUUUUUAGCUGGGAAGAGACAGAAGAGGAAAGUAAAUAAUUCAAAAACUAUAAAAAAAUGAAAACCUAUUGAAAAGUUGCUAGGAAUAGGCCAUUCUAUAGCAAACUAAGUUAACCUGGAGGUGAACUACUCUUUUAAACAAAUAUUCAUAGAACAAGGCUAAAAUAAGCAAAUUAUAUAAAACAAGGUAAAUUAAAGGCUCAUGUGCAUAUCUGGGGAACAAAAAAUACAGAUGUAUGCAUUUACAAUUAUUUUAUUAUAAAACAAAAAAUUUUAUGAUCAAAAAUGUGUUAAAAAGAUACAUCUUUGUCUUUGAAAAAUCUCAAAAAGUAUAACAUGUUGCAAAAUCAUAUUAACUAAAGUAUUAAGAGGCUGACAAGGCAAAAAUUAAAAUAAUAUAUCAAUACAAAAACAUUUCCACAGAAAUGCAAACGAUCAAAAAUAAACCUUAACAAGGUUUAGAACUUUACGCUUGAAUCAAAUAAAUAAAUAAAGGAGAGGGAAAACAGUAGUACUUCAUUAGUUAAAGUAUGAUUAAAAAAGCAGAAAUUGCAGUAAGAAUUGCCACUGUAAUGAAUUAUACAUUUUUAUUAUAUAAGCAGAUGUACUUAAUAUUAUACACUCAUAAAAGGUCCACACCCUGAAAUUACAAAACUCCUGUGCAAAGAGCCAAAAUAAGACAUGUUAUUAAUGGAAAAAACCUCAGCAGAUGCUGUUUUUUGACCUGCCCUUCAUAGUAUAUUUGUCUAUCCAAACUACGUUGCCUAACAUUUUCUAAAUCAAUAUGGUAACCAGUUUAUGCAUAAAUGUUUUUUUUUAUGACUUAUUUUAUGAUUUGAUUGCUUACUAAGCUGGUAUAUCUAUCAUGUGGCAAAAGAGUGAUGGAACAUUAAUAUGCAAAAUCCAGUGGUGGCGUGUGUAAUUCAAUAUCUAUAAAUUAACACCAAAAA